CGGCGCUGGCGCUGUGUGCCUUUGCGAGGGCGAAGCUGCGUUCUCCUCAACACAGACCCAAAGAGCAUCGUGAGGGCGGAGCUGAGUUCUACUCUGCACAGACUUCGGAGAUACAGCGAAAGCAGAGCAGUGUUCUCCUCAGCACAAACCCGGGCGGGCGGGCCGGUGGCACCGCGAGCGUGGAGCUGCGUUCUGCUCUGCACAGACCUUGGGGGCACUGCGUCGCUUUGGGACAACUCGGGGCCACAUCGAGGGUGAAUAAAAUCCUUCCUGUUUGCAGCCCUGUUUGCGGUUGGUGGCAGCGAUGGACACUGCAGCCAGCCAGAGCGUAGAAAGGCGUCGGGUCAAAGAAGAUGGCCACGGAGACAGCAGCGUGGUCAGAGUGGUAGGAGCCGGCCAUCGGUGAGAGCUGCUCCAUGCCUGGCUGCUGGGUGCUACAGCCUGCGGCCCACUGGCUUGCCUCACUGUGGUUGGUGGUGGUGGUGACAGAGACUGCAGCACGACCAGAGUGGCUUUUCUGGCUUUGCCCGCCCAGCUGCUCCGUGCCAGGAGGAGGAGGAGACACCUAGAGCCUGCAACACCACGGCUCGCCUCGCUGCAGGUGGGUGGCAGCGACGGAGACUACAGUGCGCCAAAGCAGUAGGAGAGCGGCCACGCUAGGAGGGCAGGCAGCUGCAGCCAGGGUUG
RNAcentral lists this long non-coding RNA (687 nucleotides) under Pan troglodytes (chimpanzee). RNAcentral's name for it is "long non-coding RNA NONPTRT006015". Lineage: Eukaryota; Metazoa; Chordata; Mammalia; Primates; Hominidae. The record is from RNAcentral.